CAACUCGCGGGAAAUUUUGACCUGAAUUCUUGGACAAACGUUUUGAUGCAGAUUUUGUUCAACCACAGAAAAAUACAAGAAAUAAUUGUGGUAAUUCUAUUAGAGAAUGUGGAUGUCGACGAAACAAUGUUGCAAAUUAUCUGGGGUACAUACUUCCUUUUCAAGGUACAAACGAACAUAUAUUGGUGUGAAAUAUAGAUCAUUAGUGUGAUUCUGUUAAAGACCGAACAGAAUGACAAUCCGCUCUAAACACUGAAUUUGUGGUAUAAUUAAUGCACUGAACGCAAAAUAUAAAGCGGUUUUCAAGAAAUGUUCAGAACCCGCCGUGGCUAGUAUAAGGUGUGUGCAGCCGAUCGCACUUGUCUUACGCAAGGGCGUCUAAACCAGUCCCAACUCAGUCGCGCACGAUCGGCAAAAUGCCUGAAUGACAUUAUGUGUGUUAAAUCAUGUAAGACAGACUUCGAAGAAGACAAGGAAGUUCUCACAGGAAAACCCUAGUGCCUAAGUGGCUGCCACAUGUUGAUGGACAAGGAAUGCCUUUAAUCAGUUUACUGAUGUUUUUUCUCUUGCUUCGUGCUGACCUCAUAGGCGGGACUAUUAAAGGAGCCGAAAAAAUAUGCCAGGUGGAAGGUGAGCCUAUGACUUUACCCGGCAUUACUGAAGACCCCUGUAUAGCGUGUCACUGCAGG
Molecule: long non-coding RNA, 689 nt
Organism: Pomacea canaliculata
Lineage: Eukaryota; Metazoa; Mollusca; Gastropoda; Architaenioglossa; Ampullariidae
Exons: 3
Source: RefSeq, a predicted model, not a curated record